GGGCGAAAGCCUGACGCAGCGACGCCGCGUGGGGAUGAAGUUUUCGGAUUGUAAACCCCUUCAUGAGGAAAGAUAAAGUGGGUAACCACUUAGACGGUACCUCAAGAAGAAGCCACGGCUAACUUCGUGCCAGCAGCCGCGGUAAUACGAAGGUGGCAAGCGUUGUUCGGAUUUACUGGGGCUAAAGAGCACGUAGGCGGUUGGGAAAGCCUCUUGGGAAAUCUCCCGGCUUAACCGGGAAAGGUCGAGAGGAACUAUUCAGCUAGAGGGCGGGAGAGGAGCGCGGAAUUCCCAGUGUAGCGGUGAAAUGCGUAGAUACUGGGAGGAACACCAGUGGCGAAGGCGGCUACCUGGACCGGAUCUGACGCUGAUGCGCGAAAGCGUGGGUAGCAAACAGGAUUAGAUACCCUGGUAGUCCACGCUGUAAACGAUGGGUGCUCGGUGUCGCGGGUAUCGACCCCUGCGGUGCCUUAGCUAACGCGUUAAGCACCCCGCCUGGGGAGUACGGUCGCAAGGCUG
RNAcentral lists this ribosomal RNA (519 nucleotides) under uncultured bacterium. RNAcentral describes it as "bacterial SSU rRNA". It matches the Rfam family "Bacterial small subunit ribosomal RNA", at positions 373 to 896 of the family's 1533-position model. The record is from RNAcentral.